This is a long non-coding RNA of Meriones unguiculatus (Mongolian gerbil), 1351 nucleotides long. RefSeq lists it as uncharacterized. The transcript has 4 exons. The record is from RefSeq and is a predicted model, not a curated record. NCBI's taxonomy places the organism in Eukaryota, Metazoa, Chordata, Mammalia, Rodentia, Muridae.
ACUUCUGGGCAGUGGAGCCUGCCUGGCGGAAGUGGCUCUCUAGGAGGCGGGCCUUGAGGUCUGUCUACAGCUGAGCCUCUCUUCCCAUCCUGCUGCGCUUCCUGGUCUGCUGAUAUGCAGCGAGCAGUCUCAGGUUCCUGCAGCCAUGUCUUCUCCACUGUGAUGGACUGUGCCCUCAAACAAUGAGAGUUCAAGAUGACUUCGGUAGCAGAUGGAUUCCUCUUUAGGCCUUUUUUUCCCCUUUACUCUUCUUCUUAAAAGAGGAGGAAGGCCACACUAGCAACUAGAAACCUAUGAAGUCUGGGAUCACCAGUACCCUCAGCAUCUGCACAGCCUACCACCAACCACUUCUCUCGCUGUCACCACAUCCCAGACCGCAACUCCAAGCAUUUGAAAUCUGCCUGGAAUUUGGAGAAGAGAGCGGGCGAGCAGAUUCUAAAUAUAAGCAAGGAUGUAUGGACGCACAGAAUGUGACAGAUCAAAUUAGCAGAGUCGAAUCAAUGCGGUGGUAUUCUGGAAGUAGCUGCUAGACAAAGGGAAGUGAAAAACACUAAUGGCGGUGUCAGAAGAAUUCCGUGUGCUCCAAUCAAAAGCUACGAGGGCAGCCAGCCAUUCGUCAGGAAUGUCAGUAUCUCAGCCCAGGUUUCAGCUGGCCAGUCUCCCUUGGCAGCCUACACCCACAGCAUACCCACUUGGGCAAAUUGGGAGGCCAGUGUGCCGAGCCUCAGAGUUUGGAAGCACUUCGGCAACAUGUCCCGUGUACCGUGCUUGGAAGUUCUUGAUAAACACAUCUCCCUCCCCGUGAUUUGUGCGAUGCCGGAGAGCAAGGGCGAUUCUGUUAGUCAUCUUUUUUUCCAGGAUCACAGCCAGCCCCAGAACAGAACAGGUGUUCAGGAAAUUUAUGUUGUUUAACUGGCUUCCUCCUUUUUCUUUUUUAUCCCUAUUUCUUUUCUAACCCUCCUGAAAUCUCACAUUAAAAAUUCCUGCACUUUCAUUUUUAUCUGCAACUCUUACUGAACCAUCACUUGAGAUAUCCAGUCUAAAAACAGUAUAGUUUAAAAAGCACAGCCCAAAUAGUAAUUUAUGCCCAUUUCUUAUGCACAGUGUAUCAUGGAUCUUGAUUUUCUUUCUCCUUUUGCCCUGCAAGCCCCUCAGUAUCAAACAUCCUCAUUUAGACAUUAUUAGUUCACACACAACUGAAACACAACAAUCAGCUCUCCUAUGCUCACAGGCUCAGUGCCUUUAGUCUUAGGGUCCCUCUUCCAUUUCCCCACACCUCACCACCUUUUUCCCCCAUUGUUCUGUUUCCCUAUGUUACUGAAGGGAUAGACCCCUAGAGAAUUUCAUUCUC